RNAcentral lists this ribosomal RNA (492 nucleotides) under uncultured bacterium. RNAcentral describes it as "partial 16S ribosomal RNA". It matches the Rfam family "Bacterial small subunit ribosomal RNA", at positions 29 to 507 of the family's 1533-position model. The record is from RNAcentral.
AGUGAACGCUGGCGGUAGGCCUAACACAUGCAAGUCGAACGGCAGCACAGUAAGAGCUUGCUCUUACGGGUGGCGAGUGGCGGAAGGGUGAGGAAUACAUCGGAAUCUACUUUUUCGUGGGGGAUAACGUAGGGAAACUUACGCUAAUACAGCAUACGACCUACGGGUGAAAGCAGGGGAUUUUCGGGCCUUGCGCGAUUGAAUGAGCCGAUGUCGGAUUAGCUGGUUGGCGGGGUAAAGGCCCACCAAGGCGACGAUCCGUAGCUGGUCUGAGAGGAUGAACAGCCACACUGGGACUGAGACACGGUCCAGACUCCGACGGGAGGCAGCAGUGGGGAAUGUUGGACAAAGGGCGCAAGCCUGAUCCAGCCAUGCCGCGUGGGUGAAGAAGGCCUUCGGGUUGGAAAACCCUUUUGUUGGGAAAGAAAAGCUUCAGGUUAAUACCCCGCUGUUCUGACGGUACCCAAAGAAUAAGCACCGGCUAACUUCGUG